GACGGAGGGUGCUAGCGUUGUUCGGAAUUACUGGGCGUAAAGGGCGCGUAGGUGGCCAGGUAAGUCGGGUGUGAAAGCCCGGGGCUCAACCCCGGAACGGCACCCGAGACUGCGUGGCUCGAGACCGGAAGAGGUGAGUGGAAUACCCAGUGUAGAGGUGAAAUUCGUAGAUAUUGGGUGGAACACCGGUGGCGAAAGCGGCUCACUGGCCCGGUUCUGACGCUGAGGCGCGAAAGCGUGGGGAGCAAACAGG
This 253-nucleotide ribosomal RNA is filed under the name uncultured Geminicoccus sp. Its description in RNAcentral is "partial 16S ribosomal RNA". It matches the Rfam family "Bacterial small subunit ribosomal RNA", at positions 524 to 776 of the family's 1533-position model. The record is from RNAcentral. Lineage: Bacteria; Pseudomonadati; Pseudomonadota; Alphaproteobacteria; Geminicoccales; Geminicoccaceae.